UAUAAAGUAGGCGAACGGCUGAGUAACAACGUGGGCGAACCUGCCCUUUGCACUGGGAUAGCCUCGGGAAACCGAGGUUAAUACCGGAUACUCCAUAUUUGUCGCAUGGCGGAAAUAUGGGAAAAGGCUCCGGCGGCAAAGGAUGGGCCCGCGGCCUGUUAGCUAGUUGGUGGGGUAGUGGCCUACCAAGGCAAUGAUGGGUAGCCGGGUUGAGAGACCGACCGGCCAGAUUGGGACUGAGACACGGCCCAGACUCCUACGGGAGGCAGCAGGA
This 274-nucleotide ribosomal RNA is filed under the name uncultured Atopobium sp. RNAcentral describes it as "partial 16S ribosomal RNA". It matches the Rfam family "Bacterial small subunit ribosomal RNA", at positions 88 to 354 of the family's 1533-position model. The record is from RNAcentral. Lineage: Bacteria; Bacillati; Actinomycetota; Coriobacteriia; Coriobacteriales; Atopobiaceae.